AGAGUUUGAUCAUGGCUCAGGACGAACGCUGGCGGCGCGCUUAACACAUGCAAGUCGAGCGAGAACCAGGGCUUCGGCCCUGGGGACAGCGGCGAACGGGUGAGUAACACGUGAGUAAUCCACCCUCGGUACCGGAAUAGCCCGGGGAAACCCGGAUUAAUGCCGGAUGGCCCAACAGCUCUACGGGGCGGUUGGAAAAGAUAGCUUCGGCCUUCGACCGAGGACGAGCUCGCGGCGGAUUAGCUUGUUGGUGGGGUAACGGCCCACCAAGGCGACGAUCCGUAGCUGGUCUGAGAGGACGAUCAGCCACACUGGGACUGAGACACGGCCCAGACUCCUACGGGAGGCAGCAGUGGGGAAUCUUGCGCAAUGGGCGAAAGCCUGACGCAGCGACGCCGCGUGCGGGAAGAAGGCCUUCGGGUUGUAAACCGCUUUCAGGAGGGACGAAGCCACUCGGGUUAAUAGCCCAGAGGGUGACGGUACCUCCAGAAGAAGCCCCGGCUACUACGUGCCAGCAGCCGCGGUA
This 526-nucleotide ribosomal RNA is filed under the name uncultured Actinomycetes bacterium. Its description in RNAcentral is "bacterial SSU rRNA". It matches the Rfam family "Bacterial small subunit ribosomal RNA", at positions 8 to 522 of the family's 1533-position model. Lineage: Bacteria; Bacillati; Actinomycetota; Actinomycetes. The record is from RNAcentral.